AUUGAACGCUGGCGGCAGGCCUAACACAUGCAAGUCGAACGGUAACAGGAAGCAGCUUGCUGCUUCGCUGACGAGUGGCGGACGGGUGAGUAAUGUCUGGGAAACUGCCUGAUGGAGGGGGAUAACUACUGGAAACGGUAGCUAAUACCGCAUAACGUCGCAAGACCAAAGAGGGGGACCUUAGGGCCUCUUGCCAUCGGAUGUGCCCAGAUGGGAUCAGCUAGUAGGUGGGGUAACGGCUCACCUAGGCGACGAUCCCUAGCUGGUCUGAGAGGAUGACCAGCCACACUGGAACUGAGACACGGUCCAGACUCCUACGGGAGGCAGCAGUGGGGAAUAUUGCACAAUGGGCGCAAGCCUGAUGCAGCCAUGCCGCGUGUAUGAAGAAGGCCUUCGGGUUGUAAAGUACUUUCAGCGGGGAGGAAGGGAGUAAAGUUAAUACCUUUGCUCAUUGACGUUACCCGCAGAAGAAGCACCGGCUAACUCCGUG
Molecule: ribosomal RNA, 490 nt
Filed under: uncultured bacterium
Lineage: Bacteria
Description: partial 16S ribosomal RNA
Rfam family: Bacterial small subunit ribosomal RNA
Source: RNAcentral